AGGAGUUUUCAUUAGUAUUAUGAUUUAAACUUGAGCUAAUCAAAUCUUUCAUAUGAUGAAUUUUGGGAUUUGAUGAGUUUUUAUAACCUCCAUUCUAUCAGAACUCACGACAGAGAAACUGAAUUACAUGGUAACUACCCCUAUAAUUUUUAAUUAUUCUAUUCUACUAAAUUACCACCACAUGCUACUAGAUGUUCUCAGU
Molecule: long non-coding RNA, 202 nt
Filed under: Elaeis guineensis (African oil palm)
Lineage: Eukaryota; Viridiplantae; Streptophyta; Magnoliopsida; Arecales; Arecaceae
Description: long non-coding RNA (EGUI_LNC063925)
Source: RNAcentral